AUGCCUCCAACCGUGUACAGCUCCAUGCCUGUCACAGCAUCCAACCCUGCUGGCCCCCCUAUGCCUCAUGUGGUGUUUGAGACGGGGUCUGCUCCUGCACACCAGCCUGGAGGUGGAGGGGGGCCCAUGCCUUAUUCUGUUUCUGUCCCAGCAAACAAUGCGGUGAGUGCCCUGUUGACCCACUUCAUGGCCGGCUCCAGUCCCACCACAGCAACCCAGGGGGUUCCCACCCAUAUGCCAUCACACCCUGUGUGCUCUCCAGUUGCCCAUGCUGUCAGCAAUCCCAUGCCACAGCCAGCAGCCAUUUCAGUGCCCGCAGCCUCCCUCUCUCAUGUUGUCUGCGGCUCCGCACCCUCUCCCAUUGCCCAGCCUCUCUGUGGCUCGAUGGCCACCCUACCACCCCAGCCCCUGAGCACCCCAGUAGCCCAUGCUGUAUGCUCCCCAGCCCCUUGCCCCGCGGCUUCCCCAUUGCCCCAUGCUGCACGUAGCUCUACCCCUGCAGGGCUGCACCAGGCGGGCUCCCCAGCCCCCCGCCCUGUGGGACCCCCGGCGGCCCACUCACUGUGCUCCCCAGCCUCCCGUCCUGUGGGACCCCCGGCAGCCCACUCACUGUGCUCCCCUGCCUCCAUCUCUGUGGAAGCUACAGGAGUCCGCUCUGCGAGCUCACCUGCCCCUUGUCCCGAAGACUCGUCGGCCACCUGCUUCACAUCCCCCCCAACUCCCCAGCCUCUGGCAGCUACCACUGCCCGCUCCCUCUGUAACCCUGCCUCUCACUCCAUCUCCCGGGUCGUUUGCACUCCAGGGUCUCGCUCUGUCUGCGGCCCUCAGUGGGGGCCUUCCUGUAACACCACCACCACCACCACCACCACCCGCUCAGGCUCCCUGUCAGUGUGGCCUCCAACCUCCCGCUCAACAUGGAACCUCACAGGGCGCUCAGGCUACAUCCCCUUCUCCCGCGGCUCCUACAACACACUCUCAGGCCCUCCCUAUAGCUCUUUGUCUCGUUCCUUCAACACCUUGUCCCGCUCAGCCUACAACACCCUGCCCCGCUCUACCUCUCCCUCUGCCUAUGCCACCCUGCCACGCUCCAGCUCGCGCCCAACUGGCAGCGCUCUGACCCGCGCUGGGGCCCGCUCCCCCUGGAGCCCCAACAGGAGCACUCUCUCCUACUUCAAACGCAAAUACCUGUAA
Molecule: long non-coding RNA, 1191 nt
Filed under: Numida meleagris (helmeted guineafowl)
Lineage: Eukaryota; Metazoa; Chordata; Aves; Galliformes; Numididae
Description: lncRNA (ENSNMEG00000005642.1)
Source: RNAcentral